This 2280-nucleotide long non-coding RNA is filed under the name Solanum tuberosum (potato). RNAcentral describes it as "long non-coding RNA (STUB_LNC006768)". The record is from RNAcentral. Lineage: Eukaryota; Viridiplantae; Streptophyta; Magnoliopsida; Solanales; Solanaceae.
UCUGCAGUACUAAUAUUGUGCCAUUGUUGUUGAGCGAUUUGGCUUGACAACUAUCAUAUCUAAUUCACCAUACAACAAAAGAACAAAGAAAAGAAGGGAACAUUAAACUUAUAAUCUCCAAAAAUAUAAACAUCCAAGACUGAGACAUUCAGUCUUCGAAAAAUAUUAUGGAAGAUAUAUAUUUUUAUAAAUGAUCAAUUUCAUAUCUAUCAAUUAUAUUAUUAACUAACGAAAAAAGUUUACCUUUGUCAUAUCUAGUUGAAAUGAUCCUUUUUUUUCUCCUUUUCUAUAGGGAAAAAAUAGUUGAGGACAUUCCUUUUUUUUCACCUUUUCUAUAGGGAAAAAAUAGUUGAAGACAUUAGUUUAGUUAAGAAAUCAGGUACCUAAUUAGCUUCUCUAAAAUGAAAUAAUGUGAUAUAAACAAUCUCAAUAAUAAUAAUUAGAGUGCAGAUCAAGAUUGAACCUGCUGAACACAGAGAAUUUCGUAAUUGAAAAGAAUAAAGACUACUUUCUUCGUUUCAAAAUAAAUGGUGUUUUUAGCUUGAACAUAUUGAUUCUUAGAGAAACUACUCAUUUGUAUAAGAUAAAGAGUAGUUUUACUACUUACCCCUAAUUAAAUGCCUUGAAGAAUAAGUGAUUCUAUAAUGAUGUACAAUUCCAUGUAUUAAAACAAGAGUAAUUUUAUAAGAAUAAAAUCAAUUCCUAUCAAAACAAAAUAAACAGGCCAAAACACCACUUAUUUUGAAACGAAGGAACUACAAUUUUAACCUUCUCCUUUGUAGAAAGUUCAGGAAAUUAUUUGGUUGAGAUUUUUUAAUAGAAAAAUAGUAUUCAAAAUUGAUGUUGAAAAGGAGUAUUUUGAAGUUAAAAUUGUGUUUUUAGUCCUCUUGCUGAAAUGCCUUCCAAAAAGAUUAUUUAUUUCCCCUUAUUGAAACAAGAUGGACAUGAAAACAAAGUUCAAAGUUUUGUAUGUGAAAACUUUAAAUCAUUUGUAAAAUUUUCCAUGUUGUAAUGACAAUAUGAAUUAAUUCAUAUAUAGAUUAUCAAUUGAAAUGAUUAUUAUUAAAAUUCAGUUUCAUUAGUCCCUUACUGUAUACCUCCAAUCUUCUACACCAAUAAACAUUCUUAUCAAAACAAAUUACUUGUAAUUAAGUGUUACUUAUGAGACUUCUUGGAAAUAUAUGUUUUUUCAUCAGAACUUUUGGUUCUGCCACUGUGUACUGCAUGUCUUGGGAAUGUUCAAAAUUAUUAUUAAAACACACAAAGACCAAGUUGAGUAACAUCCAUAUAUACUAGUGAUAUUCCAAUUACAAAGUACUUAUGAACUUUCUCACACAAAAUAAUGUACAUCUUCCCCUAUUUUAUAUAAUGUCACAUCUCUAAUGUUUUUUUUAUUAGAAUGAUGAGAAAUAACACAACUAACAUAAUAUACAUCACAAUAAAUGUAUAAAAGACUUGAGAGAAGAUACAAAACAUUUUGAAAAUCAAUUUAAGUUUACCAAUUAUAUGGGUGUGAAUAUAUAAUUAUCUAUUUUGAAUGACAUUAAAUACUAUCUCUAACUAGGAAUGGAAUAGACAUAAACUGAAGAUUUUGGCCCUUGUUUUUUUUUAACUUUUGGAUCCAAAAAUAUGUUGAAUUCUUCUGCUCUUUUGCCUUCUUUCUUUAGUUUAGUUUUUUAAUUACAGUUUUAUCUCUACAUAACUUGAGCAAUUUAUAACUCUAAUGAUGAAGAAAUAGUUUACACUUUACAUGUGAUUAUAACCAUAAAAUUGUGAUUAACUAAUUAUCCAGAGAUAAAGUCUUCCAGUUUGUCACACCAUAUUUAUGUUUGGUGUAACAUGUGAAUAUAUUAACUCCUAAACAUGACAUGAUCUUUUAGCCCUACAAAGUUCUAUUAUCAUAUGCCAUAGAACGAAUGGUACCUAUUUGUUUAGAGUACAUAUCCAUCAAAAGACAUAUAAAAGUUAUAUUGCUCGGACUCUUCAAAAAUAUUCACAAACUAUGUGUGUUGCAUACUAAAAAAUAGUACAUUUUUGGAGAAUCCAAACAACAUAGUGUAGACAUGGCAUAAACUUAAUCCAAUCUUUAGGAAAAAAUUAAGACAUAGUAACUAGUUAAUCUCUUAAGGCAAACAAGCUAAGUAAAAGUUUAACACUUUUGUUUAAACUAUUUGUCGAGCUUCAAAGAGGAUUACAUAAUCCAAAUAACUAAAUCAACUGUGAUUACUUUUAAACUACCAUUCAAAGAGUAUAAUUAAGAGAGAGUAGAGGGUUAAUUAC